Long non-coding RNA from Papaver somniferum (opium poppy), 2051 nucleotides. RefSeq lists it as uncharacterized. Lineage: Eukaryota; Viridiplantae; Streptophyta; Magnoliopsida; Ranunculales; Papaveraceae. The transcript is spliced from 7 exons. The record is from RefSeq and is a predicted model, not a curated record.
UUUUUUUUUUUUGGCAGAAAAUAAGGAUAUAUUAGUGAAGAUUUGUUCUACAAUUUCGGAAACAUUUGUGCAUCGCCUUAGGAUGUAAAGAAGAAUAUAUUGAGAAUCAAGAAGAACAUCCAGAGGAAAUAAUCCCGUCAAUUUUCUUUUUUGGAUUUAAUUCCUAAUAAUUUUUGGGCGGGAUGAAAAUCAAAGGAAAAUUCAUUUGUGUGGGAUUAUUCCCGCUUGGUGUUUUGGAAUAGCUGUAAAGUUGAACCCUAAAGUCAAUUUAGAGAUGUUAAGAGAUUUAUCUUUUUGGGGAUUAUCAGAGAUCAAAAGAUAUUUAUCUUUUUGGGGGAUUAUCAGAGAUAAAAAAACAACGAGAUGACUGGAGGAAGCAUAAGCACUCUUUGUUCGAGGGAAAGCAGCCCCAUAUUUAACUGGGCUCCCUUGUCUCCUAGACGCAACCCCAUAUUGUCCGAAUCAUGUCAUGAUGAACCGCAUGGAACUGUGUCAAUCCAUUAAUCAGACCAUGCAUGCUCUUAAUAUUCAUGAUAAUGAUAUUGAGAACAUUCAUGAAAACUCUGAUGAUGCGCGUUUGCCAGUGUUCUUUAAUGAUCACGGGGAAUGAAACGGACCAGCAGAAUUUGCAACUUGGAUCGGCGAGAUCACAAGAUCACGAAUAGGAUUGGGGUUUAAGAAUUGGAAAGAGGUUCCUUUGGAAUGCAAAGAAGAUAUUUGAGACUCUGUUCAAGAGAAAGAAAGUCCCACUGGUGAGAUAUAUAGGCCAGACGUGUUUCUGAAGACAUAUAAAGUCACCCCAUAUGAUAAUCCCUCAUCUUCUAAAUCACUGGCAGCUGCAAAAUUAGCAUUGGUGCAGGAGGAAUAUGAUAAAAAUCCUUCAGCACAAAAGUGUUCGGGAACGGACGAUGUUACCAAGGUUAGUGGUGUAUUUGUUGUUACAUGAAUCUUUUUGCUUCUUGAAUUUUUAUAUUGGAUGGUGAUAGUGGUUAAGUUGCUCUUUUACAGUAAUGCUUACUGAUUUGGUUCGCUAUUGUUUUCAGUCUCUUACAAUCACAUUGCCAUACUGUAGUACUGUUGCAUCUGUAGAACUAUGUUUUAUUAGUAAUCGCUGCUUCAAGUAGCCCGCACCAGCACCAAUAUGUACAUUUCAUUAGUUUUUAUAUGGUUGAUGACAUAAGUGCUGGACUGUAUAAGAAAAAUGUAUUAAUAACUGAAGUUUCCCUCUAUGUGUAUACUGUUAUUGUCGCCUUGUGAAUUGCCCGUGACUUUCUAUAUGCACAGUAGUCUAAGAAACGCCCAUGUGUUGCAUUAAUUGUUUAACUGAAUUUCAUGGAAUUUGAAUUUGCUUCUUAAAUAUGGCUGGAUAUUUGGCGCUGAUCGAAAGGGAUACAUACGCGGAAUGGGUGCUGGCGUUUCUAAAUCCCAGUUUCUUGCUUCUGAGUUUAUGAACGCCAGGUUGCAGGAAGAGAAGCACAAUGUGCUGAAAGAGAAGCAGAAAAACGAAGCUUUGAAAGCACAGUUGGAUGCUGAAAGACAGAAAAACAACACUGGAGUACAUGAUCAGAUCUCUAAUAGCUCUUACCAGCAGUUGGGAACAUAAUCGACUCGAAAUUGGCACUUCAGGAUCCUGGUGGUGCUUUUACUGUAUCACAUGCCUUCGAUGACAAGCACUUGUAGCAAUGUGGGAUUUGCAGACCCCAAAAUUCAGAUUAAGGUACAGUUGGAGUGCAGGAAAUGAAGAUACAUUAUUGGAGGUUAAUUGGUGGUCUUUUGGUGCAUGGGAACAUACACUAUGUUGUUUUUUAAAGAAGAUUUUUUCACAUGAAGCUUUUUUUUGUUCUUUACUCCUACAUUUUUUGUGUCUUCAGAAAGAUUUUAACCAUGAUGAUACAAAUUUUAGUUAAUUUAGAUACAUGAAACUUAAAGCAUAAAAAAUGUAUGCAUGUAAAUCCACAAUUUAAUCAUGAAACCACUGAUUAAUGUAACAAAUCAGAAAAACUGUUUAGAUACCCCAAACGUUAUCAAAUUUCAUGUCAUGCCAGACAUUG